Molecule: ribosomal RNA, 460 nt
Filed under: uncultured bacterium
Lineage: Bacteria
Description: partial 16S ribosomal RNA
Rfam family: Bacterial small subunit ribosomal RNA
Source: RNAcentral
CCUACGGGAGGCAGCAGUGAGGAAUAUUGGUCAAUGGACGAGAGUCUGAACCAGCCAAGUAGCGUGAAGGAUGACUGCCCUAUGGGUUGUAAACUUCUUUUAUAUGGGAAUAAAAUGUUCCACGUGUGGGGUUUUGUAUGUACCCUUUGAAUAAGGCUCGGCUAACUCCGUGCCAGCAGCCGCGGUAAUACGGAGGAGCCGGGCGUUAUCCGGGUUUAUUUGGUUUAAAGGGAGCGUAGGUGGAUUGUUAAGUCCGUUGUGAAAGUUUGCGGCUCAAACGUAAAAUUGCAGUUGAAACUGGCAGUCUUGAGUACAGUAGAGGUGGGCGGAAUUCGUGGUGUAGCGGUGAAAUGCUUAGAUAUCACGAAGAACUCCGAUUGCGAAGGCAGCUCACUAGACUGCAACUGACACUGAGGCUCGAAAGUGUGGGUAUCAAACAGGAUUAGAUACCCUUGUAGUC